RNAcentral lists this ribosomal RNA (469 nucleotides) under uncultured bacterium. RNAcentral's name for it is "bacterial SSU rRNA". It matches the Rfam family "Bacterial small subunit ribosomal RNA", at positions 30 to 490 of the family's 1533-position model. The record is from RNAcentral.
AUUGAACGCUGGCGGCAUGCCUUACACAUGCAAGUCGAACGGCAGCAUGGGUGCUUGCACCUGAUGGCGAGUGGCGAACGGGUGAGUAAUGCAUCGGAACGUACCCGGAAGUGGGGGAUAACGUAGCGAAAGUUACGCUAAUACCGCAUAUUCUGUGAGCAGGAAAGCGGGGGAUCGCAAGACCUCGCGCUUCCGGAGCGGCCGAUGUCGGAUUAGCUAGUUGGCGGGGUAAAGGCCCACCAAGGCAACGAUCCGUAGCGGGUCUGAGAGGAUGAUCCGCCACACUGGGACUGAGACACGGCCCAGACUCCUACGGGAGGCAGCAGUGGGGAAUUUUGGACAAUGGGCGCAAGCCUGAUCCAGCCAUGCCGCGUGAGUGAAGAAGGCCUCGGUUGUAAGACUCUUCGGUCUGGGAAGAAAGUACGCAUCUCCUAAUACGAGGUGAGGUUGACGGUACCUUGAUAAGAAG